Non-coding RNA from Klebsiella pneumoniae IS39, 183 nucleotides. The record is from Rfam. Lineage: Bacteria; Pseudomonadati; Pseudomonadota; Gammaproteobacteria; Enterobacterales; Enterobacteriaceae.
UAACGUUAUCGAGAUGUUAAGUUUUAUGGGUGGUGAAUCCCCCUAGCGGAGGGGCGUAAACAGUUAGAAGCGAAUCCUCAGCGCGAGUCACGGUGACUGACCAACGACUUACCGGGAAGCACCCGGCACCACACAUACUGCAUAACCCCCUAAAGGCCUUCCAUUACGGUAGGCCUUUUCUCU